GGUUCCGUAGUGCAAUGGUUAGUACACUACCCUGUCACGGUAGAGAUUGCGGGUUCGAGUCCCGUCGGAAUCG
This 73-nucleotide transfer RNA is filed under the name Caudoviricetes sp. RNAcentral describes it as "tRNA-Asp". It matches the Rfam family "tRNA". From Rfam's summary of the family: Transfer RNA (tRNA) molecules are approximately 80 nucleotides in length. Their secondary structure includes four short double-helical elements and three loops (D, anti-codon, and T loops). Further hydrogen bonds mediate the characteristic L-shaped molecular structure. tRNAs have two regions of fundamental functional importance: the anti-codon, which is responsible for specific mRNA codon recognition, and the 3' end, to which the tRNAs corresponding amino acid is attached (by aminoacyl-tRNA synthetases). tRNAs cope with the degeneracy of the genetic code in two manners: having more than one tRNA (with a specific anti-codon) for a particular amino acid; and 'wobble' base-pairing, i.e. permitting non-standard base-pairing at the 3rd anti-codon position. Lineage: Duplodnaviria; Heunggongvirae; Uroviricota; Caudoviricetes. The record is from RNAcentral.